GCAGUGCAAAUUGAAGAUUUUAUUAGGUCGACAUAACAAAAUGAACAACCACCCCAGAAUCUUCAUCGCUUAAUCGCCUGCACGCACGCGCACCUCCCCAUCGAGGCUAUAAACCCUCGAAACCCAUAUUCCAGCAAUUCUCUUUAGUACGCACUCUGUACGACCGUCAUAUUAGCACGCACUCUGUACGACCCUCAAAUCAUUUUAUUUCCUUUUUACUUUGUUUUGUCCAGAGCAAUAAUUAUGGCAGAAGUUGAUCAAAGUAUUGUCGAGCAUGAUGUGGAUCCAGCAGCAGUUCCUGGAUUGGAUGUUGCUGUAGAUCAUGGCUUGGAUCAUGCUGUGGAUCAUGAUGUAGAUCAUCCUGUGGAUUAUGGUCUGGAUCAUGCUGUUGAUGAUGUUGUGAAUCAUCCUGUUGAUCAGGGGUUGGAACAUGGUGUUGAUCACAGCUUGGAUCAAGCUACAGAUAGCUUUGCUGUAGAGCAUAAUGUCGAUCAUGCUGUAGAUCAGAAUGUGGAUCAUGCUAUAGAACAUGAUAUAGACCAUGCAGAAGAUCAUGUGCCUGAGAAUUUUCAGGCUCAAGAAAAACAAGGACAUGAUGAGGA
This 602-nucleotide unclassified non-coding RNA is filed under the name Hevea brasiliensis (rubber tree). The record is from RNAcentral. Lineage: Eukaryota; Viridiplantae; Streptophyta; Magnoliopsida; Malpighiales; Euphorbiaceae.